GCUCGACACUAACCACCUCUUCACAUGCCCUCUCAAACCAAUUAAUCUAACCCCACUCUCCCUUUAGUCCAAUUCCGUUGAAGCAGCUCGUUUCCUGGACCUAUCACUAGAUGACCUCGGCGACUUAGACUGAACAAACCUGUGCCUAAGCGGGGUUAGCGAACCGAUACAACAACAACAACAUCAAGUGGCAUUUUAAUCCUCCUGGAGUCAUAUGGGCGGCCUCUGGGAAGCAGGAGUUAAGAGCUUAAAAAUACACUUAACAAAGGUGGCGCAGAAGAAUUGGCAACGCUUUUAACAAAAAUCGGAAGUUGUUUGAAUCUCGCCCCCUAAACCCCAUCAGCGAUGUCCCUACAAGUUUAAAACUUUUAACUACAAGUCAUUGCCUAAUCGGUACUCCGUUACUCUCCCGACCUGAACUUCACCUAGAAGACGCAAAGCUCAGUACCGUGAAUAGAUGGCUGAAACUAAAGAUAUUCCAUCAACACUUCUGUAUUCGAUGGAAAGAAGAAUACUUAAAGGAACUCCACAAGCAUUAUAAGUGGAAAUACCUUCACACUAAUAUUGUAUUCCCAUUUACAGUAUCAAGGCACCCUCUAAGGCAAAAGACCCUCGAGAACACAGUCCAGUUAUCCCUGUGCGCUCGCGAAGCAGCAGUCGAAGCGUCAGCCCGAUAUCCGAACCAAGAACCCUAACCAGACGGCUACAACGAUUCAGAGCGACAGAGGAAAACGACUAUAUUCAUCGCACAACACAACAUACUAUAACCCAUUUGAAGUGGAACUGGAAACCCGCUUAUGAGUGCGUUGCCUGCGGAUUUUGCAAAAAGGACCAUCGCUUGGCGACAUGCUACAAGUACAUUGGAAUGAAUGUCGGAGAAAAGUUUGGCACUAUUACACGACACAAGUACUGCGUGAGCUGUUUGGCCCGUUCACACAAAACCCGAGACUACACUAGUAAGACUAGGUGUUCUACUUGUAAUGUAGAGUACCAUUCUACGAUACACGGUCACCCAAAGUUUGCUGAAGAAGAGACAAGGGGCAAGGGACAGACAAAAUAAUGCUCAAACUGAGAGCAGAUAUCAACCCGCAAAUCAUCCGACCCGGCUUGUUCAACCUCAAUAAUGUAACAGUAGUCGCUCAAAGCACCGGAUUCGGUUGAGCCUUAGCCGGCACAAUUUGAAGCCGACCCUAAGUAUUCAAAGAACUCAUUUGAAUUCUCCUCCUACUCCAUUUCUUUAAAUUGUAAUUUUAAUCCAAAUUUUUAUUCUCAGAUCCUGCAAGGCGACUAGGAUGUUUAUGUCCAAUAAACACUUCCCUGCAUUGUACCCAAAGCGAAUAGUGGACAAUGCAAAAGCACACAACAGAGAUUUAUAUAUAGUUUUUGAAAAACAACGAAAACAAAUGCAGUACGAAGGACGUUACUGAAUUAUAAUAAGGCUAUGGGCGGCGUCGAUUAAAGGACUGGUAAAUUUAGCUUAUACCGAGCGUCGAUAAGAAGAAAAAAGUGGUGUUUCCGCUUGGACGUUAAUGGGUUAAAACUAUUUGCUUAAUCAGUUUUUACUGCAAGAACUCAGUCUUCAGGUUACUGAUAUAAUUGUGGCGGCGGCUGUUGCCGGAGGAGCACCGUUCGAUCGCAAGCCUACAGAUCCUCACGAAACCCACGCGCUGUUCA
Ceratitis capitata (Mediterranean fruit fly) is the source of this 1674-nucleotide long non-coding RNA. RefSeq lists it as uncharacterized. The record is from RefSeq and is a predicted model, not a curated record. The transcript is spliced from 3 exons. Lineage: Eukaryota; Metazoa; Arthropoda; Insecta; Diptera; Tephritidae.